GGGGAAUAUUGCACAAUGGGGGAAACCCUGAUGCAGCGACGCCGCGUGAAGGAAGAAGUAUCUCGGUAUGUAAACUUCUAUCAGCAGGGAAGAAAAUGACGGUACCUGACUAAGAAGCCCCGGCUAACUACGUGCCAGCAGCCGCGGUAAUACGUAGGGGGCAAGCGUUAUCCGGAUUUACUGGGUGUAAAGGGAGCGUAGACGGCAUAACAAGUCUGAUGUGAAAGGCUGGGGCUUAACCCCGGGACUGCAUUGGAAACUGUUAAGCUUGAGUGCCGGAGGGGUAAGCGGAAUUCCUAGUGUAGCGGUGAAAUGCGUAGAUAUUAGGAGGAACACCAGUGGCGAAGGCGGCCAACUGGGCUUUAACUGACGCUGAGGCUCGAAAGUGUGGGGAGCAAACAGGAUUAGAUACCCUGGUAGUCCACACUGUAAACGAUGAUAACUAGGUGUGGGGGGUCUGACCCCUUCCGUGCCGCAGCUAACGCAAUAAGUUAUCCACCUGGGGAGUACGACCGCAAGGUUGAAACUCAAAGGAAUUGACGGGGGCCCGCACAAGCGGUGGAGCAUGUGGUUUAAUUCGAAGCAACGCGAAGAACCUUACCAGGUCUUGACAUCCACUUAAACUUACAGAGAUGUAAGGUGUGCUUGCACAAAGUGAGACAGGUGGUGCAUGGUUGUCGUCAGCUCGUGUCGUGAGAUGUUGGGUUAAGUCCCGCAACGAGCGCAACCCUUAUCUUUAGUAGCCAGCAGUAAGAUGGGCACUCUAGAGAGACUGCCGGGGAUAACCCGGAGGAAGGUGGGGAUGACGUCAAAUCAUCAUGCCCCUUAUGACCAGGGCUACACACGUGCUACAAUGGCGUAAACAAAGAGAAGCGAAGUCGUGAGGCAGAGCGAAUCUCAAAAAUAACGUCUCAGUUCGGAUUGUAGUCUGCAACCCGACUACAUGAAGCUGGAAUCGCUAGUAAUCGCAGAUCAGAAUGCUGCGGUGAAUACGUUCCCG
This 1000-nucleotide ribosomal RNA is filed under the name uncultured bacterium. RNAcentral's name for it is "bacterial SSU rRNA". It matches the Rfam family "Bacterial small subunit ribosomal RNA", at positions 356 to 1376 of the family's 1533-position model. The record is from RNAcentral.